CUGUGUCAGUUAUUUGGAAGGGAGAGACUCCAUGAUGUCCCAAGCACCCAUCUCUAACCAAUGAGCUGAAGUUCCCGCCAUUGGCCCUCCUCUUGGAGAACAGACUGAUCAAUCCCCCAGUUUUUUAGAGUUCAGUGCAGAUACCUUCCAUAGAUGAUAGUACUUCAUUGACUGCCAAAGAAGAUGCCAGCAUACCCAGAUCCACAUUAGAAUCUGUCAUUGCCCAGGCUGGAUUGCAGUGGUG
Sapajus apella (tufted capuchin) is the source of this 244-nucleotide long non-coding RNA. RefSeq lists it as uncharacterized. The record is from RefSeq and is a predicted model, not a curated record. The transcript has 3 exons. Lineage: Eukaryota; Metazoa; Chordata; Mammalia; Primates; Cebidae.